CCACUGAUGGACUGUGCAGUUUGCUACAAAACAGCAGCAAACCAGAUAGUCGAUCCCCAAGCCGUAUGUUCACUGUAUCCAGAAACCGAGACUCACAGAGGAGAUGAGGACCACCAGGACAGAGCACUGCAAAAAAAUGACUUACAACAGUGGAGCUCCUACGCUGUUGGCUGUGUCUACUGGCUAAAAUAAAAAGCAAAAAUACCAUCCUUCAUAAUAUAGUAAACGGAGAAUCUGCGCUUCACCUGUUGCAUGCUUAAUUCACCAUAGUGUCGUAACUUUGACAAGCCAAUUCUCAUUGCAGUUUCCUGCAGAUUUCUCAUCCAGGCUUCACUUAUAAUAAACAAAUACAAAAGCAGCACAUCUGCAUAUUCAUUCAUUGUGUUUUUGUUAUGUUUUCCCAUCUAUAAAGCUGGUGGUUCAGCCUCACUUUAAGCUCCUCUCUGCUGUGAUAAAUGAGUUCCUUCAUUGCUCAUAAAGUCACUGUAUUACAGAUGUAACAUUGUGUAAUAAAAAAAGAAGAACAAAAAGUGUU
This is a long non-coding RNA of Sander lucioperca (pikeperch), 535 nucleotides long. RefSeq lists it as uncharacterized. The transcript has 2 exons. NCBI's taxonomy places the organism in Eukaryota, Metazoa, Chordata, Actinopteri, Perciformes, Percidae. The record is from RefSeq and is a predicted model, not a curated record.